GGGAUGGGAUGGAGAUUAAUCUGUGGACCACCAUUUAGGCCCUAGUGGCCUCUGGUGAUCCACAGGCUCAAUUUGAGAACCACUAAUUUCAUGACAAAACAGAUUGUAAGACCUAAAAUCAAGGGAGAGGAUGGACGUCUCGUGCUACGAAGAUGAGUGUUCCCUGGAAAAGAGGGACGGAUGAACCUGGAAGGCCAAAUCCUUGUAGCUGUCUUCUUGCCCCGGUCAGUGCCAGCCGUACUAUUCACAACACUGCUGCUACCGAGGCCUAGGAUCAGUUCUUAAGAGCAGCCCCGGUAACUGGAGGAAUGGGAGCCGUUUUGAUGAGAAAAAUGGGCUGGAGAGAAGGAGAAGGAUUAGGAAAAAACAAAGAAGGCAAUAAGGAACCCAUCCUAGUUGAUUUUAAGACAGACCGAAAAGGUCUUGUUGCAGUAGGAGAAAGAGCACAAAAGAGGUCUGGGAACUUCUCUGCUGCAAUGAAAGAUCUGUCAGGCAAACAUCCUGUGUCUGCUUUGAUGGAAAUCUGUAAUAAGAGAAGGUGGCAACCACCUGAAUUUCUAUUGGUCCAUGAUAGUGGCCCUGAUCAUCGCAAACAUUUUCUCUUUAGGGUAUUGAUAAAUGGAAGCGCUUACCAGCCCAGCUUUGCCAGCCCUAAUAAGAAGCAUGCUAAAGCCA
RNAcentral lists this small RNA (675 nucleotides) under Pongo abelii (Sumatran orangutan). RNAcentral describes it as "processed transcript". The record is from RNAcentral. Lineage: Eukaryota; Metazoa; Chordata; Mammalia; Primates; Hominidae.